AUUUUGUUUAGGAGCUUGGUAUCACUAUGAUUAAGUGGUCUGUGCAUAUAAAGUGAGGUGGCUAUAAUCUAAUAAUAAUAAUAUUUUUUGGAGCAUCAAUUCCUGGGUCUCUUGGUGUGUCCAUUUGUACAUCCUCCUUUCUUCUUUUUGGUUUGGAUUAGGAUUUUGUAGGUACUGGUGGGUCCCCAGUGGACAGCACUGGUUCCUGGAAAUCUGCAGUCACACCCAGUUAUUGUGAGUAGUUUUAAACAGGAGAUACAGUGACAUCGGUAAAGGUCCCUGGAACACACAGCAGAUACAGUCUCAUCGGUAAAGGUUCCUGGAACACACAGGAGAUACAGUCUCAUCUGUAAAGGUUCCUGGAACACACAAGAAAUACAGUUACAUCGGUAAAGGUCACUGGAACACACAGGAGAUACUGUCACAUCGGUAAAGGUCCCUGGAACACACAGCAGAUACAGUCUCAUCUGUAAAGGUUCCUGGAACACACAGGAGAUACAGUCUCAUCUGUAAAGGUUCCUGGAA
Molecule: long non-coding RNA, 525 nt
Filed under: Pelobates cultripes (western spadefoot toad)
Lineage: Eukaryota; Metazoa; Chordata; Amphibia; Anura; Pelobatidae
Source: RNAcentral